This 470-nucleotide ribosomal RNA is filed under the name uncultured bacterium. Its description in RNAcentral is "partial 16S ribosomal RNA". It matches the Rfam family "Bacterial small subunit ribosomal RNA", at positions 28 to 507 of the family's 1533-position model. The record is from RNAcentral.
GACGAACGCUGGCGGCGUGCUUAACACAUGCAAGUCGAACGGUGAACGAGGGAGCUUGCUCCCUCCGGAUCAGUGGCGAACGGGUGAGUAACACGUGAGCAACCUGCCCCUAACUCUGGGAUAAGCUCUGGAAACGACGUCUAAUACCGGAUACGACGCUGGAGGGCAUCCUCUCCUCGUGAAAAGAACUUCUGUUCGGGCUGAGCUCGCGGCCUAUCAGCUUGUUGGUGAGGUAACGGCUCACCAAGGCGACGACGGGUAGCCGGCCUGAGAGGGUGACCGGCCACACUGGGACUGAGACACGGCCCAGACGCCUACGGGAGGCAGCAGUGGGGAAUAUUGCACAAUGGGCGCAAGCCUGAUGCAGCAACGCCGCGUGAGGGACGACGGCCUUCGGGUUGUAAACCUCUUUUAGCAGGGAAGAAGCGAAAGUGACGGUACCUGCAGAAAAAGCACCGGCUAACUACGUG